CAGUAGCCACGGUAAAACGGAGGAUCCAAGCGUUAUCCGGAAUCAUUGGGUUUAAAGGGUCCGUAGGCGGUCUUGUAAGUCAGUGGUGAAAGCCCAUCGCUCAACGGUGGAACGGCCAUUGAUACUGCAGGACUUGAAUUAUUGGGAAGUAACUAGAAUAUGUAGUGUAGCGGUGAAAUGCUUAGAGAUUACAUGGAAUACCAAUUGCGAAGGCAGGUUACUACCAAUUGAUUGACGCUGAUGGACGAAAGCGUGGGUAGCGAACAGGAUUAGAUACCCGCGUAGUCCCUGUCUCUUAUAC
This 301-nucleotide ribosomal RNA is filed under the name uncultured bacterium. RNAcentral's name for it is "partial 16S ribosomal RNA". It matches the Rfam family "Bacterial small subunit ribosomal RNA", at positions 509 to 807 of the family's 1533-position model. The record is from RNAcentral.